GACGAACGCUGGCGGCGUGCUUAACACAUGCAAGUCGAGCGGUAAGGCCCUUCGGGGUACACGAGCGGCGAACGGGUGAGUAACACGUGGGUGAUCUGCCUCGCACUCUGGGAUAAGCCUGGGAAACUGGGUCUAAUACCGGAUAUGACCAUUGAUCGCAUGGUUGGUGGUGGAAAGAUUUAUCGGUGCGAGAUGGGCCCGCGGCCUAUCAGCUUGUUGGUGGGGUAAUGGCCUACCAAGGCGACGACGGGUAGCCGACCUGAGAGGGUGACCGGCCACACUGGGACUGAGACACGGCCCAGACUCCUACGGGAGGCAGCAGUGGGGAAUAUUGCACAAUGGGCGAAAGCCUGAUGCAGCGACGCCGCGUGAGGGAUGACGGCCUUCGGGUUGUAAACCUCUUUCGACAGGGACGAAGCGCGAGUGACGGUACCUGUAGAAGAAGCACCGGCCAACUACGUG
RNAcentral lists this ribosomal RNA (462 nucleotides) under Nocardia sp. OAHPP14561. Its description in RNAcentral is "bacterial SSU rRNA". It matches the Rfam family "Bacterial small subunit ribosomal RNA", at positions 28 to 507 of the family's 1533-position model. Lineage: Bacteria; Bacillati; Actinomycetota; Actinomycetes; Mycobacteriales; Nocardiaceae. The record is from RNAcentral.